GCCUGGGUGGCUCAGUUGGUUAAGCGUCCGACUUCGGCUCAGAUCAUGAUUUCACGGUUUGUGGGUUUGAGCCCCAUAUCAGGCU
RNAcentral lists this transfer RNA (85 nucleotides) under Felis catus (domestic cat). It matches the Rfam family "tRNA". From Rfam's summary of the family: Transfer RNA (tRNA) molecules are approximately 80 nucleotides in length. The record is from Rfam by way of RNAcentral. Lineage: Eukaryota; Metazoa; Chordata; Mammalia; Carnivora; Felidae.